Molecule: long non-coding RNA, 766 nt
Organism: Helianthus annuus (common sunflower)
Lineage: Eukaryota; Viridiplantae; Streptophyta; Magnoliopsida; Asterales; Asteraceae
Exons: 2
Source: RefSeq, a predicted model, not a curated record
UCAUCUCUCUCUCAAACAAACUCAAAAACCUCCAUAGUUUCUUCUACCUUCAAUCUUUCAUAAACCUUUCAAUUUUUGUCCAAAUCAAGUGAAAUUUUGGUCUAACUUGACUAAUUUUUCCCAAGAUUGUUGAUUUUGACAAAAGAUCUCUGAGAAAACGCACUUUUAGGGCCCGAAUUUGAAACCCUAGUUCGAGAUUAUUUGGGGGUUUUGGAGUUUUCGGUUUCACAAGCACUCUUGCAUCUUGAAACAAAGGUGCAUUUCGGGGGAUAAGAGAUGGAUUAAAUGCAGCAUUGGAGGCUUUGGUGAUGAACGGGUCAAGCGUGGAAUAAGAGACGAAAGAAAGAAGAAUAUUCAGGUCAUCACCAUAAAUUACGGUCCCACCGUAAUUUACGGUGGACCUGAAAAUCAAUUGGUUCCCACCGUAGCACAGACUAUUCCCACCGUAACACUUUUAUGUUCACCGUAAAUUACGGUGAUGCCGUAAAUUACGGUGAUGCCGUAAUUUACGGUGGAGUCUGCGAGAAAAACUUGUAACUGCCACUUUUAAGUUAGUUUUGGGGUGUCUUUUCAUGAUUCAUCAUCAUUGGACGGUUUUGGAUCAUCAUUGGGGCGAUUUUUGGCUGUUUGCUUGGUUUGUGAACAAUUCUUAUCAUCCGGUUUGUAUUUUCGAAUUGUAGGAACAUUGGUUUGAUUAUGAUGAUGAUUCACCGAGCCAUGUCCGGCUAAACUCUUCGGUGAUCAUCUUAGGUGAAUGUUUCUUGAA